UUGUUCUCAUUUUGGUAGCAAAUCUACUAAAACUGAAGCAAUACAGAGAAGAUUAACAUGGCCCUUGUUCAAAGAUGACAUGCAAAUUCUGGAAGCACUCAAUAUUUAU
This 109-nucleotide small nuclear RNA is filed under the name Mus musculus (house mouse). Lineage: Eukaryota; Metazoa; Chordata; Mammalia; Rodentia; Muridae. The record is from RNAcentral.